Non-coding RNA from Danio rerio (zebrafish), 429 nucleotides. NCBI's taxonomy places the organism in Eukaryota, Metazoa, Chordata, Actinopteri, Cypriniformes, Danionidae. The record is from RefSeq and is a predicted model, not a curated record.
GACAAUUUAGCCUACCCAAUUCACCUGUACCCCAUGUCUUUGGACUUGUAGGCAAAACCGGAGCACCCAGAGAAAACCCACCAAACGCAGAGAGAAUUUGCAAACUACACACAGAAAUGCCUGCUGAUCCAGCUGCGGCUCGAGUCAGCAUCCUUGCUUAUUGGAUGCCUGAUUGCAGUUCAACUCCAAACUCAGUUGGACCAGCUGAUCAGUGUCUUCAGUAUUACCACAAGCUACUGGGCAGAUGUGUGGACAGCUAUGAGCCAAACUUGGGACGUUUGGUUUUUAGCAGGUGUGACCGUCUGGGCAGCAGAAACAAGACAACUAAUCAUAGUUGAGUUGAGAUUAGUAUUAUUAACUUGACUAGUUUGGUUGCAGACUUGUUCAAUACUUAACAAUUUGUAUAAGUUACAAGAUCAAUGGUCCUGC